GGCUACUUGACUGACCGUCUGGUCUGGAAUGAUUGACAGGUCCUAUGGAGGAGGCAGCAGAGACUCUGCUCUCCUCCUUUGGAUUAAUUCUGAUAUAAUAACUGUUGGUUUAUUUAUCGGUGCAGCAGCAGAACCUUUUCCACAGACCGUUUUCCUGCCCGUUGGCUUGUGUUAACCAGUUUUCUGGCUUCGGCUGAUUCUACCAGCAGACACUGAAAGGACUCUGAUUGUUUGGUCCCUCUCUAUCUCCCCACACAUCCACCAACCACUGGAACACAUCUCCAAAGUUCUGCUGGGCCAGCUCAGCUUCCCCUCAGAAGAAGUACCGCCACCUGCCAGAUGAAGUAGCCUUUUGAGAGGCAGCUGGCAUCGUGAUUGGACUGUACUUUGGUCUGUUCCAAUCCAGCUUCAGCUCCAGAGACGGCAGGCGGGACGAGUCAACGGAGGCCGGAUGGACGAAGGCAUGAAGCUGAGUACAAUCCAGAAAACAACAGAGGAGGAGUGCAGCAGCCCAGAGCCAGAACAACUAGAGUAGCAUCGUAUCUCUUAGAAAACAUCAUAGUAGAGCCUUUGACCAAAGAACUACAGACUCUUCACAACCUGCUCAAACUCUUGGUACAGGACCUCACCACACGGGUCAAGAAGGUUUCUGUCUCAUUUCUACUCUGAAGCUCACCUUCUCCUGCUCAAACUGCUGACAAAUGUUUCUGCUGCUCUAAAGUC
Molecule: long non-coding RNA, 723 nt
Organism: Amphiprion ocellaris (clown anemonefish)
Lineage: Eukaryota; Metazoa; Chordata; Actinopteri; Pomacentridae
Source: Ensembl